AUGCUGUGCAAGAACACCAUGGCCUCCCUUGUCUUCCUUGUGGCGCUGCUGCUCUCAUGCAGCUCCAUGAGCAGUGCGGCACGGUACCUAGAGGAGGUUGUGCCCAAGAAGGAGUAUCCACCACAUCCUAUCGUCCCAGAGCUGCCAAAGCCCGAACUCCCGCCGCACCCUGCCGUGCCUGAGCUGCCGAAGCCUGAACCACCGCACCCUCUCGUGCCCGAAGUGCCACACCCCAUGGUGCCGGAGACGCCAAAGGAGCCUGAAGUGUCACACCCCGUGGUGCCGGAGGUGCCAAAGCACGAGCUGCCACCGCACCCUGCUAUGCCCGAGCUCCCGAAGCCUGAACUGCCGCAUCCGGUUGUGCCUGAGGUGCCAAAGGAGACUGAAGCGCCACACCCAAUCGUACCGAAGGUGCCAAAGGACCACGAUCUGCCACACCCUGCCGUGCCGGAGACGCCAAAGGAGCCUGAAGUGCCACACCCCGUCGUGCCAGAGGUACCAAAGGAGCACGAGCUGCCGCACCCUCCCGUGCCAGAGGUGCCAACGGAGCCCCAUGUGCCACACCCUGAGGUGCCGAAAGAGCCCGAGUUACCGCACCCUGUUGUGCCAGAGGUCCCGAAGCACGAAAUGCCGCCGUUCCCCAAAGCCGAGCUGCCCCCGAAGCCCGAGUUCCAUUUUCCGGAGCCAGCGGCCAAGCCAUGA
RNAcentral lists this ribosomal RNA (702 nucleotides) under Triticum aestivum (bread wheat). RNAcentral describes it as "partial small subunit ribosomal RNA". Lineage: Eukaryota; Viridiplantae; Streptophyta; Magnoliopsida; Poales; Poaceae. The record is from RNAcentral.